GGCGGACGGGUGCGUAACGCGUAGGAAUCUGCCGAUUAGUGGGGGACAACUUGGGGAAACUCAAGCUAAUACCGCAUACGCCCUACGGGGGAAAGCGGGGGACCUUCGGGCCUCGCGCUAAUCGAUGAGCCUGCGUUGGAUUAGCUAGUUGGUAGGGUAAAGGCCUACCAAGGCGACGAUCCAUAGCUGGUCUGAGAGGACGAUCAGCCACACUGGGACUGAGACACGGCCCAGACUCCUACGGGAGGCAGCAGUGGGGAAUAUUGGACAAUGGGCGCAAGCCUGAUCCAGCAAUACCGCGUGUGUGAAGAAGGCCUGAGGGUUGUAAAGCACUUUUAAUCGGGAGGAAUAGCUGUUGGUUAAUACCCGGCAGUCUGACAUUACCGAUAGAAAAAGCACCGGCUAACUCCGUGCCAGCAGCCGCGGUAAUACGGAGGGUGCGAGCGUUAAUCGGAAUUACUGGGCGUAAAGCGUGCGUAGGCGGUUGUUUAAGUCAGAUGUGAAAGCCCCGGGCUUA
Molecule: ribosomal RNA, 517 nt
Filed under: uncultured Methylosarcina sp.
Lineage: Bacteria; Pseudomonadati; Pseudomonadota; Gammaproteobacteria; Methylococcales; Methylococcaceae
Description: bacterial SSU rRNA
Rfam family: Bacterial small subunit ribosomal RNA
Source: RNAcentral